RNAcentral lists this non-coding RNA (148 nucleotides) under Nomascus leucogenys (northern white-cheeked gibbon). Lineage: Eukaryota; Metazoa; Chordata; Mammalia; Primates; Hylobatidae. The record is from Rfam by way of RNAcentral.
GCCAGGUGUGGUGGUGCACACCUGUAAUCCCAGCUACUCAGGAGGCUGAGGCAGGAGAAUUGCUUGAAUCUGGAAGACAGAGGUUGCAGUGAGCUGAGAUCAUGCCACUGAACUCCAGCCUGGGUGACAGAGCGAGACUCUGUCUCAA